CUGGACCCUAAUCUACAAUGUCACCAUUGAGGAUCUUUGUAAAUUAUGCACCCUAGAUAGUGACAGAGACACAUUAAGGUAAUAAAAAGUUCAGCAUAAAGUUGUGCAUGGGUAAAAUACCGACUAAUGAAUAAUGCUUAAAUCUUCUAAGCUGCUAUGCUGUUUGUCAAAAAUGCACUAAUCAGAAACCCACUUUUUUACAGCCAUAUCUAUGGCUAGAGUGUGGAGCACAGAGUAUGAACAUUCAUAAAAAUAAUAAAAGUAUGUAAAGUUAUGGAUUAUCCAAUAACUAAAUACAGG
Molecule: non-coding RNA, 300 nt
Organism: Pelobates cultripes (western spadefoot toad)
Lineage: Eukaryota; Metazoa; Chordata; Amphibia; Anura; Pelobatidae
Source: the annotation of a GenBank genome assembly